Molecule: long non-coding RNA, 521 nt
Organism: Triticum dicoccoides
Lineage: Eukaryota; Viridiplantae; Streptophyta; Magnoliopsida; Poales; Poaceae
Exons: 3
Source: RefSeq, a predicted model, not a curated record
CAGAGGACCGUUCGACCAUACUCCACCGCUGCUCACCGUUCGACCAUACUCUCAGGACAAGCUGCUCACGAAGGUGCCCAAGUACAAGCAGACCAUCUUCUCCGUCCUCCCCUAGGAAACCUAUCAGUCGAACAAGGAGAACCGUUCCAAAGUUAAGUUCCAUCAGAAAACUGGUUCUCGCCCCUACAUUUCCCAUGUGCAUGCUUUGAAAGAGGCUCGUAAGGGUGAAGAGUUGACUGCAUUUGAUCUAUUCAAGGAGUGCCACAAUGGCAAGAAGACUGGUUUCUCUGAGCCAGUUAAGAAGGCGAUAGUAAGUUUCUAGUAUUCUUUUUCGUGUUGAUGAGGCUUGUUUACCUCAUCCUUGUUACACUUGAUUACAUUAUAUGACUUCUGCUUGACGGAUUUGAUAGAGAUGGUUUUUUCAAAGUAGUACCAUAUAUGAUUCAUGUUUUGUUAUAGUUUGUUUGUACCAGUCCUCUGUUUCAUUGCAUUGCAUAUUCAUUUUGGUACUGGAAAUGCGA